Molecule: ribosomal RNA, 124 nt
Filed under: Palpitomonas bilix
Lineage: Eukaryota
Description: partial Trypanosomatid mitochondrial large subunit ribosomal RNA
Source: RNAcentral
ACUCUUUGGGAGAGGGGGACAUUUUAUGUGUUGUUGUGUAUUUACUUGUGAUCAUUUCACGCUGACAAUCAUUAGAAAAAGGGCUAUACUACAACUUGAGCUUGAAAAAAGCUUCAAUAGUUUU